Molecule: ribosomal RNA, 292 nt
Filed under: uncultured microorganism
Description: partial 16S ribosomal RNA
Rfam family: Bacterial small subunit ribosomal RNA
Source: RNAcentral
GUGCCAGCAGCCGCGGUAAUACGUAGGUGGCAAGCGUUAUCCGGAAUUAUUGGGCGUAAAGCGCGCGCAGGCGGUUCCUUAAGUCUGAUGUGAAAGCCCACGGCUCAACCGUGGAGGGUCAUUGGAAACUGGGGAACUUGAGUGCAGAAGAGAAGAGCGGAAUUCCACGUGUAGCGGUGAAAUGCGUAGAGAUGUGGAGGAACACCAGUGGCGAAGGCGGCUCUUUGGUCUGUAACUGACGCUGAGGCGCGAAAGCGUGGGGAGCAAACAGGAUUAGAUACCCUGGUAGUCC